GACGAACGCUGGCGGCGUGCUUAACACAUGCAAGUCGAACGGAAAGGCCCUGCUUUUGUGGGGGGCUCGAGUGGCGAAAGGGUGAGUAACACGUGAGUAACCUGCCCUUGACUUUGGGAUAACUUCAGGAAACUGGGGCUAAUAACGGAUAGGAGCUCCUGCUGCAUGGUGGGGGUUGGAAAGUUUCGGCGGUUGGGGAUGGACUCGCGGCUUAUCAGCUUGUUGGUGGGGUAGUGGCUUACCAAGGCUUUGACGGGUAGCCGGCCUGAGAGGGUGACCGGCCACAUUGGGACUGAGAUACGGCCCAGACUCCUACGGGAGGCAGCAGCGGGGAAUAUUGCACAAUGGGCGGAAGCCUGAUGCAGCAACGCCGCGUGCGGGAUGACGGCCUUCGGGUUGUAAACCGCUUUCGCCUGUGACGAAGCGUGAGUGGCGGUAAUGGGUAAAGAAGCACCGGCUAACUACGUG
This 468-nucleotide ribosomal RNA is filed under the name uncultured bacterium. RNAcentral's name for it is "partial 16S ribosomal RNA". It matches the Rfam family "Bacterial small subunit ribosomal RNA", at positions 28 to 507 of the family's 1533-position model. The record is from RNAcentral.